CAUAUAUACUAGUUAAGCAUGUCGCAUCACUCAGACUAGCAUAGUUACACUGCAGCCUCACAGUUGCCGACCUAAUCGAUAGGACAUGUUGGACAUGACCUAACGCAUUACAAAUUCAGCAAGAUAGCAUUGUAGUCUCACUGUUGUUGUUGAAAAUUUUUACUGACCUAAUCGACAAGAUAUGAGUAAUCAAACUUAUACGCAACGAAUUGUAUUAAUAGUU
This is a non-coding RNA of Pelobates cultripes (western spadefoot toad), 223 nucleotides long. NCBI's taxonomy places the organism in Eukaryota, Metazoa, Chordata, Amphibia, Anura, Pelobatidae. The record is from the annotation of a GenBank genome assembly.